Molecule: ribosomal RNA, 301 nt
Filed under: uncultured bacterium
Lineage: Bacteria
Description: partial 16S ribosomal RNA
Rfam family: Bacterial small subunit ribosomal RNA
Source: RNAcentral
CAGCCGCCACGGGAAUACGAAGGGUGCAAGCGUUAAUCGGAAUUACUGGGCGUAAAGCGUGCGUAGGCGGUUUGUUAAGACAGAUGUGAAAUCCCCGGGCUCAACCUGGGAACUGCAUUUGUGACUGGCAAGCUAGAGUGUGGCAGAGGGGGGUGGAAUUCCGCGUGUAGCAGUGAAAUGCGUAGAUAUGCGGAGGAACACCGAUGGCGAAGGCAGCCCCCUGGGCCAACACUGACGCUCAUGCACGAAAGCGUGGGGAGCAAACAGGAUUAGAUACCCCAGUGUCCCUGUCUCUUAUACC